Molecule: ribosomal RNA, 450 nt
Filed under: uncultured bacterium
Lineage: Bacteria
Description: partial 16S ribosomal RNA
Rfam family: Bacterial small subunit ribosomal RNA
Source: RNAcentral
GUGGGGAAUAUUGGACAAUGGGCGUAAGCCUGAUCCAGCCAUACCGCGUGGGUGAAGAAGGCCUUCGGGUUGUAAAGCCCUUUUGUUGGGAAAGAAAUCCUGUCGGUUAAUACCUGGCGGGGAUGACGGUACCCAAAGAAUAAGCACCGGCUAACUUCGUGCCAGCAGCCGCGGUAAUACGAAGGGUGCAAGCGUUACUCGGAAUUACUGGGCGUAAGGCGUGCGUAGGUGGUGGUUUAAGUCCGUUGUGAAAGCCCUGGGCUCAACCUGGGAAUUGCAGUGGAUACUGGAUCACUAGAGUGUGGUAGAGGGAUGCGGAAUUUCUGGUGUAGCAGUGAAAUGCGUAGAGAUCAGAAGGAACAUCCGUGGCGAAGGCGGCAUCCUGGGCCAACACUGACACUGAGGCACGAAAGCGUGGGGAGCAAACAGGAUUAGAUACCCGGGUAGUCC